Molecule: transfer RNA, 72 nt
Rfam family: tRNA
About the family: Transfer RNA (tRNA) molecules are approximately 80 nucleotides in length. Their secondary structure includes four short double-helical elements and three loops (D, anti-codon, and T loops).
UAGAAUUUGGUGUAAUUGGAAGCACGGAGAGUUUUGGAUUCUCAAGAGUAGGUUCAAUUCCUGUGAUUCUAG